This 450-nucleotide ribosomal RNA is filed under the name uncultured bacterium. Its description in RNAcentral is "partial 16S ribosomal RNA". It matches the Rfam family "Bacterial small subunit ribosomal RNA", at positions 338 to 795 of the family's 1533-position model. The record is from RNAcentral.
CCUACGGGUGGCUGCAGUAGGGAAUAUUGGACAAUGGGCGAAAGCCUGAUCCAGCCAUGCCGCGUGAUAGAUGAAGGCCCUCUGGGUUGUAAAUAUCUUUUAUCUGGGAAGAAACAAUCUUAUUCUUAAGAUCUUGACGGUACCAGAGGAAUAAGCACCGGCUAACUCCGUGCCAGCAGCCGAGGUAAUACGGAGGGUGCAAGCGUUAUCCGGAUUCACUGGGUCGUAGGCGUUCUGAUGCGGGCGGGUAGAAAGCUCCGAGCUUAACUUGGAAACUGCCAUUGAUACUGCCAGUCUUGAAUGUCGUAGAGGUAAGCGGAAUGUUGCAUGUAGCGGUGAAAUGCUUAGAUAUGUUACAGAACACCAAUUGCGAAGGCAGCUUACUAUGCGAUGAUUGACGCUGAGGCACGAAAGCGUGGGGAGCAAACAGGAUUAGAUACCCGGGUAGUC